CCUACGUGUGGCAGCAGUGGGGCAUAUUGGGCCAUGGGCGCACGCCUGACCCAGCAACGCCGCGUGAAGGAAGAAGGCUUUCGGGUUGUAAACUUCUUUUGUCAGGGACGAAGCAAGUGACGGUACCUGACGAAUAAGCCACGGCUAACUACGUGCCAGCAGCCGCGGUAAUACGUAGGUGGCAAGCGUUAUCCGGAGUUACUGGGUGUAAAGGGCGUGUAGGCGGGGAAGCAAGUCAGAUGUGAAAACCACGGGCUGAACCUGUGGCCUGCAUUUGAAACUGUUUUUCUUGAGUACUGGAGAGGCAGACGGAAUUCCGAGUGUAGCGGUGAAAGGCGUAGAUAUUAGGAGGAACACCAGUGGCGAAGGCGGUCUGCUGGACAGCAACUGACGCUGAGGCGCGAAAGCGUGGGGAGCAAACAGGAUUAGAUACCCCUGUAGUC
Molecule: ribosomal RNA, 443 nt
Filed under: uncultured bacterium
Lineage: Bacteria
Description: partial 16S ribosomal RNA
Rfam family: Bacterial small subunit ribosomal RNA
Source: RNAcentral